CGUCGACUAGCUCAGAUGGUCAGAGCGCCGCCCUGAUAAGGCGGAGGUCCGAGGUUCAAUUCCUCGGUCGGCGACCA
RNAcentral lists this transfer RNA (77 nucleotides) under Microbacterium sp. RNAcentral's name for it is "tRNA-Ile". It matches the Rfam family "tRNA". From Rfam's summary of the family: Transfer RNA (tRNA) molecules are approximately 80 nucleotides in length. Their secondary structure includes four short double-helical elements and three loops (D, anti-codon, and T loops). The record is from RNAcentral. RNAcentral also lists the same sequence under 3 other names. Lineage: Bacteria; Bacillati; Actinomycetota; Actinomycetes; Micrococcales; Microbacteriaceae.